Molecule: non-coding RNA, 76 nt
Filed under: Cycloclasticus sp.
Lineage: Bacteria; Pseudomonadati; Pseudomonadota; Gammaproteobacteria; Thiotrichales; Piscirickettsiaceae
Description: SAH sequence
Rfam family: SAH (S-adenosyl-L-homocysteine) riboswitch aptamer
Source: RNAcentral
UUGAAUAAGGAACGCUGCGACAGGGUCCCCCUGCUAGGCUUAUUCAAGGUUUACCAUUUAACCGCGUUCAUUAUUA